GCAGAGAGUGGGAAGCUCAUGCUCACAGGCCGCUCUGUAACCGAAAGAAGCCAUGGGGAAGGGAGAAUCCACAUAUUGGGAAAUGGUGCCCGAACCUCUAUUUCCUCCCUCCAUGGAGUGAAUAACUCCCUCCAGGGAAAGCGGUUUCAGGCAUGAACCAUGGACCACAGAGAAGCCACUGGAGCCUGGGGAGAAGCCACCAGGCCACUUGGAAGAAGGCAAGUGGUCCCCAGGUUACCUCUCAUCAGGCCCGGGACAGCCCUGCCCCGCUUCUUCAGCUCCCCGAAGCAGCCAUCGCAGACCUUGGCCAUCCUGUCCUUCAGCAACAGAAUUGGCUGAGUAAUGUGGAAUGUGGCCAGGAGACCAGCCAGAUGCACAGCCCAGUGAGCCCUGCCCUGCUUCUCUGUGCAGGGUGUGUGCGUGUGUGGAUAGCUUCCCAGACAGUCAUCUGACAGGCACUUUCCAAGUCCCUGCUCUGCACCAGGGAGGGCUUCUUGAGUGGCAAGAGCUACGCCUGGGCUGUGUGCCAGGUAGCUGGGUGGAGUUCUCAGAGUCUCCACUAGAUGCCGCGCCUACACCACAGGGUCUCACUAUGUUGCCCAGGCUGGUCCCAAACUCCUGGCCUCGAGUAAUCCUCCAGCCUCAGCCUCCCAGAGUGAUGGGAUCACAGGUAUGAGCCACCAUGCCCCACCUAAUAAAUGAUUUUAAUGAGAAAAUGCAUCUAUGAGAAUGCAUGUGCACGAGUGCAUUUAGAUCCCAUUUCACACUCAGAACCGCCCAGUGCAGGAUAAACCCCCACGUGAUAGGCAUUGCUGCCAUCCCAGGGUCAUGUGCUUGCUGAGAGGAGACACCCAAGCCCCAGAAGCCUUGCUGACCCCUGCCAUGCACGUCCCUGAUUGAAGAGCUGCUCUUGGCUGGAGCCAUACCUCCCUGGUUUCCAAGCCCCCGAGCGCUUGAGCUUACCUUGCCCGGAGAGAAGGAAAAGGGGAUGCUCUUUAAGGUCAUGGUCUAAAGCCAGAGAUGAGGAUCCCAGGCAACCUGAGGACCUGGAGAAAUGCAGACCUUUCUGAUAGAAAGGCCAUGCCCCCCUGUGGUCUAAAUGUUUGUGUCC
This is a long non-coding RNA of Symphalangus syndactylus (siamang), 1111 nucleotides long. RefSeq lists it as uncharacterized. Lineage: Eukaryota; Metazoa; Chordata; Mammalia; Primates; Hylobatidae. The record is from RefSeq and is a predicted model, not a curated record.